GUAUUGCUGACAAACGCUCCCUAAACUCCUCUCACCAAGGGUGUCUUUUGUCUUCCUUCAUCACUGUAAAUUUUUCUAUCUUUCAAGAUUAUCAUGCUCUGUCAGACUGCACUGUCCUUUGUCUUUCUAUCUAUCUUCGCACCACCCAAAAGCUGUCUCCCAAACCAUUGGCGGCCUCCUGUCAACGCUUGGCCAGGCCGGAUCUGAAGGUAUUCCCCAUGGAGAUAUUGCCCUUACCAGAAACCACUGGAGGUGUGACCUCCCUCUGUGGACCUACAUGAAUUUGCCUUGUAGUAAUGCAGUAUUACUGUCUCUAUCCAGAGGGAAGCCCAGUGUGCUGUGAGCGGUUUGUGAACUGGUGCUUGCUGGUUGUAACAGCAACUCCAUGUGGAAGUUGCUUGUGUUCCAGUGGAGAUGCUGUUACCUGCAGAGAGUCACCCUCAGCUCGAUCUUUGAGUCAAUGUGUAGAAUAUCACAGGCCUUGUCUUUGGUCAUUCCUGUUAUGUCUUUGUUCAUUCCUGUUAUGAUCUUGGUUGAAAUUAAUUACAUUCCUUUCCCUGCAUUGUUUUUAUGAGAAAUUUUGUAUCAUUAAGAACCGUCUCGAGGUCAUUUAAUGACAUGAGCUCCUUGUUGUCUAUAACAACCAAACAUUGUUAUGAAAAGAAGGGCUAAGAGAAGAAUGGGACGUAUGGUGAUGACCUAUGAAUUGACAGCCAGUGUUUGGAAAACGUCUGCCUGUCAGUUCUGUAGGCCACUGCCGUGUCUGUCCUCCUGAGCACGCAGUUAAUUGAUGUUUAAUAAGUUAUCAACUAACUAUGAUGUUAGUUAAUACCCUACUUUAGAAUGCUGUUUAUUUGUAUGUUAUUUGAAGCCGAUACACAGCCUUGGAAAUAAAGACUGAAUAUUACACUCUG
Molecule: long non-coding RNA, 914 nt
Organism: Esox lucius (northern pike)
Lineage: Eukaryota; Metazoa; Chordata; Actinopteri; Esociformes; Esocidae
Exons: 2
Source: RefSeq, a predicted model, not a curated record